Molecule: ribosomal RNA, 98 nt
Filed under: Chlamydia gallinacea 08-1274/3
Lineage: Bacteria; Pseudomonadati; Chlamydiota; Chlamydiia; Chlamydiales; Chlamydiaceae
Also listed under: 1 other name
Source: RNAcentral
CUUGGUGAUAAUGGAAAAAGGGGUACACCUGAUACCAUUCCGAACUCAGAAGUUAAGCCUUUUAUCUAUACGUAUUGUUGGUUUCAAUAUUUCUAGGU